Molecule: ribosomal RNA, 443 nt
Filed under: uncultured bacterium
Lineage: Bacteria
Description: partial 16S ribosomal RNA
Rfam family: Bacterial small subunit ribosomal RNA
Source: RNAcentral
CCUACGGGAGGCUGCAGUGGGGAAUAUUGGUCAAUGGAGGAAACUCUGAACCAGCAACGCCGCGUGAAUGAUGAAGGUCUUCGGAUUGUAAAGUUCUUUUCUAAGGGAAGAAGAAAGCGAUGGUACCUUAGGAAUAAGCCUCGGCUAACUACGUGCCAGCAGCCGCGGUAAUACGUAGGAGGCGAGCGUUAUCCGGAAUGACUGGGCGUAAAGGGUGCGUAGGUGGUUUGACAAGUUGGUAGCGUAACUCCGAGGCUCAACCUCAGCACUACUAGCAAAACUGUCGGACUUGAGUGCAGGAGAGGAAAUUGGAAUUCCUAGUGUAGCGGUGGAAUGCGCAGAUAUUAGGAGGAACACCGGUGGCGAAGGCGAAUUGCUGGACUGUAACUGACGCUGAGGCACGAAAGCGUGGGGAGCAAACAGGAUUAGAUACCCGGGUAGUC